This 452-nucleotide RNase P RNA is filed under the name Clostridiales bacterium. RNAcentral describes it as "RNase P RNA component class A". It matches the Rfam family "Bacterial RNase P class A". From Rfam's summary of the family: Ribonuclease P (RNase P) is a ubiquitous endoribonuclease, found in archaea, bacteria and eukarya as well as chloroplasts and mitochondria. Its best characterised activity is the generation of mature 5'-ends of tRNAs by cleaving the 5'-leader elements of precursor-tRNAs. Cellular RNase Ps are ribonucleoproteins. The record is from RNAcentral. Lineage: Bacteria; Bacillati; Bacillota; Clostridia; Eubacteriales.
CGAGUAAGUUGAAUGACCGCGGGCAUAAGGCGAAAGCCUGUGCGUGAGGAAAGUCCGGGCUCCAUAGGGCAAGGAUAGCGGGUAACGCCCGCCGAAGGCGACUUUAGGACAAGUGCAACAGAAAUAUACCGCCGUGUCUUCCAUCUCUCAAUCGCAUCAAAGCCAGCUUUGAUGCGAAGAGGAUGAGCCACGAAGCGGCGAAGGUCGGUCACUUGUGACUGGCCUUCGCUGAGCGUAGUGCGCGACGACGAGGUAAGGGUGGAAAGGUGAGGUAAGAGCUCACCCAACGGCGUGGAAGCGUCCGUUGCUGUAAACUCUAUCCGGAGCAACACCGUGGAAGGACAAUAGGCUGACCCGGCCGUCCUUGGGAGGUGGCUUGAGCGUAUUGGCAACGAUACGCCUAGAUAGAUGGUCAUUUUUAACAGAAUCCGGCUUACAGACUUACUCGCCCU